AGCAGCCGCGGUAAUUCCAGCUCCAAUAGCGUAUAUUAAAGUUGUUGCAGUUAAAAAGCUCGUAGUUGAAUUUCGGGGUUCAUCCGUUGGUCGGGCUUUUGGGUCUGUACUGGCGUGAUGGAUUCCUACCUUCUGAAUAACCAGCAUGUCAUUAAUUUGGUGCGCUGGGGAAGCAGGACUGUUACCUUGAAAAAAUUAGAGUGCUUAAAGCAGGCAUACGCUUGAAUACAUUAGCAUGGAAUAAUGAAAUAGGACGUUCGAUCCUAUUUUGUUGGUUUCUAGGAUUGACGUAAUGAUUAAUAGGGAUAGUUGGGGGCACUAGUAUUCAAUUGUCAGAGGUGAAAUUCUUGGAUUUAUUGAAGACUAACUACUGCGAAAGCAUUUGCCAAGGAUGUUUUCAUUAAUCAAGAACGAAAGUUAGGGGAUCGAAGACGAUCAGAUACCGUCGUAGUCUUAACCAUAAACUAUGCCGACUAGGGAUCGGAUGAUGUUAAUUUUUUAAUGACUCA
This 509-nucleotide ribosomal RNA is filed under the name uncultured Acaulospora. RNAcentral's name for it is "SSU rRNA". It matches the Rfam family "Eukaryotic small subunit ribosomal RNA", at positions 569 to 1078 of the family's 1831-position model. Lineage: Eukaryota; Fungi; Glomeromycota; Glomeromycetes; Diversisporales; Acaulosporaceae. The record is from RNAcentral.